This 497-nucleotide ribosomal RNA is filed under the name uncultured bacterium. Its description in RNAcentral is "partial 16S ribosomal RNA". It matches the Rfam family "Bacterial small subunit ribosomal RNA", at positions 28 to 507 of the family's 1533-position model. The record is from RNAcentral.
GAUGAACGCUGGCGGCGUGCCUAAUACAUGCAAGUCGAGCGAACGGACGAGAAGCUUGCUUCUCUGAUGUUAGCGGCGGACGGGUGAGUAACACGUGGAUAACCUACCUAUAAGACUGGGAUAACUUCGGGAAACCGGAGCUAAUACCGGAUAAUAUUUUGAACCGCAUGGUUCAAAAGUGAAAGACGGUCUUGCUGUCACUUAUAGAUGGAUCCGAGCUGCAUUAGCUAGUUGGUAAGGUAACGGCUUACCAAGGCAACGAUGCAUAGCCGACCUGAGAGGGUGAUCGGCCACAUUGGAACUGAGACACGGUCCAGACUCCUACGGGAGGCAGCAGUAGGGAAUCUUCCGCAAUGGGCGAAAGCCUGACGGAGCAACGCCGCGUGAGUGAUGAAGGUCUUCGGAUCGUAAAACUCUGUUAUGAGGGAAGAACAUAUGUGUAAGUAACUGUGCACAGCUUGACGGUACCUAAUCAGAAAGCCACGGCUAACUACGUG